AACGCACCUUGCGCUCCUUGGUAUUCCGAGGAGCAUGCCUGUUUGAGUGUCAUUAAUAUAUCAACCUCUUCAAAUUUUGUUUGUCGGGUGUUGGAUUUGGGGGUCUUUUUUGCUGGUCUUGUAUCUACAGGUCAGCUCCCCUGAAAUGCAUUAGCAGAACAAUUUGUGAACCGUUCAUUGGUGUGAUAACUAUCUACGCUUUUGACGUGAAACAGGUUCAGCUUCUAACAGUCCAUUGACUUGGACAACUUUUCAUUAAUGUGACCUCAAAUCAGGUAGGACUACCCGCUGAACUUAA
RNAcentral lists this unclassified non-coding RNA (298 nucleotides) under Typhula sp. RNAcentral describes it as "partial contains 5.8S ribosomal RNA, internal transcribed spacer 2, and large subunit ribosomal RNA". The stretch from base 1 to 52 matches the Rfam family "5.8S ribosomal RNA", at positions 103 to 154 of the family's 154-position model. The record is from RNAcentral. Lineage: Eukaryota; Fungi; Basidiomycota; Agaricomycetes; Agaricales; Typhulaceae.